Molecule: transfer RNA, 64 nt
Filed under: Dipodomys ordii (Ord's kangaroo rat)
Lineage: Eukaryota; Metazoa; Chordata; Mammalia; Rodentia; Heteromyidae
Rfam family: tRNA
About the family: Transfer RNA (tRNA) molecules are approximately 80 nucleotides in length. Their secondary structure includes four short double-helical elements and three loops (D, anti-codon, and T loops). Further hydrogen bonds mediate the characteristic L-shaped molecular structure. tRNAs have two regions of fundamental functional importance: the anti-codon, which is responsible for specific mRNA codon recognition, and the 3' end, to which the tRNAs corresponding amino acid is attached (by aminoacyl-tRNA synthetases). tRNAs cope with the degeneracy of the genetic code in two manners: having more than one tRNA (with a specific anti-codon) for a particular amino acid; and 'wobble' base-pairing, i.e. permitting non-standard base-pairing at the 3rd anti-codon position.
Source: Rfam by way of RNAcentral
GGUGGCUCAGUGGUAGAGUGCUUGCCUUGCAUGCACGAGGCCCUGGGUUCGAUUCCCAGCACCA